This 41-nucleotide non-coding RNA is filed under the name Prorocentrum micans. The record is from RNAcentral. Lineage: Eukaryota; Dinophyceae; Prorocentrales; Prorocentraceae.
UUUUUUUUUUUUUUUUUUUUUUCUAAUGACUCAACAUGAGA